This 498-nucleotide ribosomal RNA is filed under the name uncultured bacterium. RNAcentral describes it as "partial 16S ribosomal RNA". It matches the Rfam family "Bacterial small subunit ribosomal RNA", at positions 28 to 507 of the family's 1533-position model. The record is from RNAcentral.
GACGAACGCUGGCGGCGUGCCUAAUACAUGCGAGUCGAACGAGAGCGACCGGUGCUUGCCCUGGUCAAUCUAGUGGCGAACGGGUGAGUAACACGUGGGUAACCUGCCCAUCAGAGGGGGAUAACAUCCGGAAACGGAUGCUAAAACCGCAUAGGUCUUCGAGCCGCAUGGCUUGAAGAGGAAAAGAGGCGCAAGCUUCUGCUGAUGGAUGGACCCGCGGUGCAUUAGCUAGUUGGUGAGGUAACGGCUCACCAAGGCCGUGAUGCAUAGCCGACCUGAGAGGGUGAUAGGCCACAUUGGGACUGAGACACGGCCCAAACUCCUACGGGAGGCAGCAGUAGGGAAUCUUCCGCAAUGGACGCAAGUCUGACGGAGCAACGCCGCGUGAGUGAAGAAGGUUUUCGGAUCGUAAAACUCUGUUGUUAGAGAAGAACAAGUGCUAGAGUAACUGUUAGCGCCUUGACGGUAUCUAACCAGAAAGCCACGGCUAACUACGUG